This is a long non-coding RNA of Parus major (Great Tit), 2666 nucleotides long. RefSeq lists it as uncharacterized. Lineage: Eukaryota; Metazoa; Chordata; Aves; Passeriformes; Paridae. The transcript has 3 exons. The record is from RefSeq and is a predicted model, not a curated record.
UCAACAUUCACAAUGAUAACAGUGUGGUUAACAGCAGCAAGAAAAGGGUUAUUUAAAGCUGGGCAGCUGUAGAGACAUUCCUGUCAUAUCUGCCUGAGUUUUAACAACUUUUUACAAGCCUAACUGAUUAAUACAUGGUUAUUACUUACUGCAUUUAUGAUUUUUUUUUUAAAAAUCAGCAAAUUACAUAUCUGCAUUUGAGGAACUGAUUAUACAAUUAAAUUACUAUUACCAUCUAAAUCAUUACGGUGAGCUUUCUCAUGAUAGGAUAGGCGAGUUUGCAAUUGUAAAUAUCCAGGCACGUUUCAAGGAUGCGGGGGAAGUCUCCAAUACAAGUACACCUCCCUCGCAGGUUUACAGAACAGGCCAGGUCUAGAACUACAAAAGCCUUGCAGAACUCCCCAAAAACUCUUCCUUUCCCCUCACCUACAAAGAACGCAGAAAAAGAUGCUCUCGCACACCGCAAGCUUCACCUGAAAACACCGAAAAUACGGAAAGGGGGGAGGUGGGGAAGAGAAAGGCGCUCCUCAGCAAUUCGUGAGCCGGCCAGGUCUGUCAGUUGCUGUCCGUGCUCCAGGAAUGUGUACCAGGCUCACCACAAAGCACGCAAUCUCUGCCAGCCUCGGGGCUCACGGGCACGAAGCCGGUGCGGCUCAGUGCAUGAAUGACAGCAGCAGCCCCAGUGCCAAAGGUCCAACAAGGAGGCCCAAAGACCAUUAUGCUGUGGAAGAAAUGAAAUGGGAUGGCACAGAAUCAACAGGCUUUUCUAUGAAUAGCCCUUGAUCACAAGAUGGACACAGAGCUUACAGUACAUGGAGGAGGAAGAAGGUUUGCCCUCCUAGAACAGCAGGAGUGGGUAGCCUGGUCUUACCAUAACAAAUUACCUAAAUGUAGACAUGAUAAAAGGCUGAUUUAUUUUUUCCCUGUCAAAAUCUCCUGUCCAUCUUCAGGCUAACUGCUGAAACAAUCCAGAGGAAAAAGAAAAGUUCCUGUAACACAUGAUCAACUGGAAUAUUAAUCCUAUGAGAUUUGGGAGUAAUUGCAGUCACAAAUUGUACAAGAACUUACACCUGUGGUCAUUAAGGUUAUAAAGUCCCAUUCAUAUUGCUACAAAAAUGAGGUUAUAAUUAACUUCUAACAGCCUUCACUUUCCAGGGGGAUUAAGAUCUAUUCUACCUUCAUCAUGCCUAAGGCAUGAAACCCAUUUAUAGCAGAGAUUAUCAAAUGGACAGAUGCAUGUAAAAUAUUUCAGAACCAGACUUAGUAAGAACUGGAGAUUUGCUCAACGAUGUUUCCUCAGAGCUGUUUCCUUUUUCUUCCAGCUCUCACUGUUGUAUUCUACAUUAAACACACAUUUAGCAUCAUGAACUGUCAGGCUCUCUUUUUUGGGUAUUUCAGCUCAUGUGACAAUUUUAGCCUGCUAAUGGUGAUAAAACAGAUACCAGAAACUAAGCCCCAAAAGUCAGUUGUCAUAGGUGCUCUUGUAUGCAAUAUACAAACCAAUAUAUAAUACUGCAGUUUUUCUCUUGAGUAGUGUUUUUAUCUUUUAUUGGCAAAUACAUCUUUGCUGCAUUUGCAGCUGUUACCCUUUUGAUUUGACAUAACACAUAGAGCUACCUGAAUGUCCAGCUUGAUUUAGCUACAAGCAUCAAAUCAUUUCUCAGACCUAUUGAUAUAAUUGUUUGCUCUCACUUAACACUCUUGAUACAUGGCUAAUUCAAGAUUACUGCAAAAACUCACUUUCCUGCUGAUCUUACACACACAAAUCUAUAAUUAGGAAUUUCCACAUCAAGUUGAAAUGCAGAAUACACAUUUUAUUGGUGCAAAGGCCUCAGUAUGUAUUUUAUGUAAUUAUUUCAGUAAUGGUUGAAUUGAAUAAAAAAUUCCUGGAGUUACCUGCAAUAAUACCUUGCUUCCAUCUUUACUGAUAAUGUAAAGUCACAGACUGCGAUUACAGAAAAAUGUUUCUUUUAAUAUCUUCAGCUUUUAAUUGUUAUCCUUGCUACUUUCUACUUAAAGUCUGUGUUCCUGCUGAGUUCUCAAAGUACUUUUUAACUAUGCAGCAACAAAGUAAAAAAAUGCUAGAUAGCACAAUAAGUAAUACAGUGCCAUGUGCACAGUAAUUUCCCCUGGCACAGACAGAAAGGACAAAAAGGAAUGGGUUAGUCAGGAAAAGCUGUUUCUGGGCAUGAACACAGAGCAAGACCAUUGAAGCCAAUCAGGUAAUGACAAUAGUACCAGGAUUCUCCCACCUACCUUUAUGCAUUCCACAUAGUUUGUACCCUGAGCAGUGGGAAAAAUGAGAAUUACCUGGUAGAUGUGAUUUAUAGAGCCAGACUGUUAAAAGCAGUUCAUAGAGAAAAAAAAUUACAACUGCCAAGAUUUUAAUAAAGGCUGCAAAGCCCUAGAAGGGCAUGUCUUUCAAUAAAAAGUUAUUUUCACCUUUAUUUGGGAGAGCUUUUCAUUAAGCAUGUAUAUAAAUAAAAAUUUUACACUUCUAUAGUAUUUUUUUUUUGUUUUAUUAAAAUAAAUAAGACUGGAAUUUAAAAUCAACUGAGAAAUAUGAAAUGUAUUGAGACAAAUACAGGACAGUUUAAUUUAUUGUAUGUGUCUGUAUUGGAAUGAAAAGAUAGCACUUUAAUUUUUCAGUUACAAAUUCUAAGGGC